This 198-nucleotide ribosomal RNA is filed under the name uncultured bacterium. RNAcentral describes it as "partial 16S ribosomal RNA". It matches the Rfam family "Bacterial small subunit ribosomal RNA", at positions 328 to 539 of the family's 1533-position model. The record is from RNAcentral.
ACGCUCGACACCUACGGGGGGCAGCAGUGGGGAAUAUUGCACAAUGGGGGAAACCCUGAUGCAGCGACGCCGCGUGAAGGAAGAAGUAUUUCGGUAUGUAAACUUCUAUCAGCAGGGAAGAAAAUGACGGUACCUGAGUAAGAAGCACCGGCUAAAUACGUGCCGGCAGCCGCGGUAAUCUGAGCGGGCUGGCAAGGC